CUCUUCCCAUUGGCUGAGAAGGGUCAUGAGGAUGAACUGUGCAGUCACCUGGCAGGAACCGGAACCCGCGGUUAUAAAGUAAAGGAACCCGAGAUCUGCGCAGGGGUUCCCUUUGCCGAUUUCUCUCACCUCACCUUUCAAACCUAAACUCGAGCCUACUGUUCACCGGCCUAGCAUUGCUCUCGCCAUGGCUCUCAGCGAUGCUGACGUGCAAAAGCAGAUGAUGCCAGAAGUCCGGGGAGCCUUGUUUGGUGCAAAUGCCAACAGGAAGUUUUUGGACUAAGCCUUCAGGAGGUGGAGCUCGUCGUCAGCUCUCCUGCUGUGAUGUGGAAGCUUCUGAUAUUUGAAGAAACACGAAUGUCUCUGUAGCUUCCUCUUCACUGCCCCAGUAUUGCUCUGUAUUUAUCAGCGAUGCCCCUCUGUCACUCAUGCCUUGCCUAAUUGUUCACAAUGGUGGAAAGCUUCAUGUAAUAUGAUCAGGACCCACCUCCAGUUCUUCUGAAAGUGUGACAGUGUCCAGCCGGUUCUGCAGCACUAGGGGAGGGGGCAGAUGGUGGUUGCAUGGGCUUCCUGGGUCUCCACUCUCCGUCUGGCCUAAAGGUGAUGUAUUUGGUGUUUGGCCCUGCAGUCCCCACUCUUGAGGCUUAAGGCGCAUGUGGCACACCACUCCUUCCAGCAGUAGUCGCUUUACUGUUACCUGUUUAGGCCUAGAAGUUUUCCCUCAUCUGUAAAUGUGAUUUAAAAUCUAAGCCAUGAAUAUGCUUUAUUUAUUAAAAGAGUUAUGCGGAUUUAAUGUGAUUUCUAGUGUAAGGCACUACAA
RNAcentral lists this long non-coding RNA (820 nucleotides) under Homo sapiens (human). Its description in RNAcentral is "non-protein coding lnc-ATP6V1E1-2:1". Lineage: Eukaryota; Metazoa; Chordata; Mammalia; Primates; Hominidae. The record is from RNAcentral.